UCCCUGGUGGUCCAGUGGCUAGGAUUCGGCGCUUUCACCGCCGCGGCCCGGGUUCGAUUCCCAGUCAGGGAA
RNAcentral lists this transfer RNA (72 nucleotides) under Nomascus leucogenys (northern white-cheeked gibbon). RNAcentral's name for it is "tRNA-Glu (TTC) (tRNA-Glu-TTC-6-1)". It matches the Rfam family "tRNA". From Rfam's summary of the family: Transfer RNA (tRNA) molecules are approximately 80 nucleotides in length. Their secondary structure includes four short double-helical elements and three loops (D, anti-codon, and T loops). The record is from Rfam by way of RNAcentral. Lineage: Eukaryota; Metazoa; Chordata; Mammalia; Primates; Hylobatidae.